This 79-nucleotide small RNA is filed under the name Flavobacterium hercynium. RNAcentral's name for it is "Flavo-1 RNA". It matches the Rfam family "Flavo-1 RNA". Lineage: Bacteria; Pseudomonadati; Bacteroidota; Flavobacteriia; Flavobacteriales; Flavobacteriaceae. The record is from Rfam by way of RNAcentral.
UCAUAGCCCUGAUAGAAGCGGUAUCCUUUUUCUUGCUUUUUUUGCAAGGAAAAGAUACAAGCGGAUAGCAGGAAUAGCU